RNAcentral lists this RNase P RNA (411 nucleotides) under Bacteroidales bacterium. RNAcentral describes it as "RNase P RNA component class A". It matches the Rfam family "Bacterial RNase P class A". Rfam says of the family: Ribonuclease P (RNase P) is a ubiquitous endoribonuclease, found in archaea, bacteria and eukarya as well as chloroplasts and mitochondria. The record is from RNAcentral. Lineage: Bacteria; Pseudomonadati; Bacteroidota; Bacteroidia; Bacteroidales.
ACAGUCUGCCGUUCCAUCGUUCCCCGAAUCCGGUUCAUGCCGUUUAGGCGGGGAAAGGAAAGUCCGGGCAACACAGAGCACCAUACUUUCUAACAGAAAGAUAUCCGUGAGGAUAUAUCAGGUGUAACAGAAAAUAACCACCCGGGGUUAAGGUGACAACCGAAAUACCGGGAACGGGUGAAAAGGUGAGGUAAAGGCUCACCGGUAUUGAUGGUGACAUCAAUAGCCGUACACCUUAUGGGUUGAAAGACCAUGUAUACCGGCCAUAAGGAUUGCUCGUCCGAUGCCGGGGGGUGGGUCGUACGAUCCGGUCAGCAAUGGCCGGACCAGAUAAAUGAUGGAAUCCGGUUAAAUAAUCUUUUGCAGAUAGUCUGACCGGCACAGAAUCCGGCUUACAGGCAGGCUGUUUUU